CCUACGGGUGGCAGCAGUGAGGAAUAUUGGUCAAUGGACGAGAGCCUGAACCAGCCAAGUAGCGUGAAGGAUGACUGCCCUAUGGAUUGUAAACUUCUUUUAUAAAGGAAUAAAACGAGGCACGUGUGCCUUUAUGCAUGUUCUUUAUGAAUUAGGAACGGCUAACUCCGGGCCAGCAGCCCCGGUUAUACGGAGGAUUCGAGCGUUAUCCGGGUUUAUUGGGUUUAAAGGGAUGUGAGAUGGGUUGUUAAGUUAGUUGUGAAAGUGUGCGGGUUAACCGUAAAAGUGCAAUUGAUACUGGGAGUCUUGAGUACAGGUGAGGUAGGCGGAAUGCGUGGUGUAGCGGUGAAAUGCAUAGAUAUCACGAAGAACUCCGAUUGCGAAGGCAGCAUACUAACCUGUGACUGACAUUGAGGCACGAAAGUGUGGGUAUCAAACAGGAUUAGAUACCCGAGUAGUC
This 460-nucleotide ribosomal RNA is filed under the name uncultured bacterium. RNAcentral describes it as "partial 16S ribosomal RNA". It matches the Rfam family "Bacterial small subunit ribosomal RNA", at positions 338 to 795 of the family's 1533-position model. The record is from RNAcentral.